GCUCCAGUGGCGCAAUUGGUCAGCGCGCGGUACUUAUAAUGCCGAGGUUGUGAGUUCAAGCCUUACCUGGAGCA
Molecule: non-coding RNA, 74 nt
Organism: Pseudophryne corroboree (corroboree frog)
Lineage: Eukaryota; Metazoa; Chordata; Amphibia; Anura; Myobatrachidae
Source: the annotation of a RefSeq genome assembly